UUGCUAUGAUGAAACUCAGUUUAUUGAUGGUAUUCAUUGAGUGCUUGAUGAUACUUCGGCAUUCAUGUCGAACCUGAGCGGUUACCUGAGCAA
This is a small nucleolar RNA of Medicago truncatula (barrel medic), 93 nucleotides long. It matches the Rfam family "small nucleolar RNA snoR128". NCBI's taxonomy places the organism in Eukaryota, Viridiplantae, Streptophyta, Magnoliopsida, Fabales, Fabaceae. The record is from Rfam.